GGUGAGGCACCUUUCUUCAGCUCCAGCACGGCAUAGAGAGUUGUCCCACUUUUGGACAGCUGGCGGGCUGCUUCAUCCAAAUGAGACAUGAUCUGGGUCAGAGGGGAAGAAGCAUUUGUGAGAACUUCCACAGGCGAGGCCACAGAGGAGUGAACUUCCAGUGACAGGAAACUCAUUGCCUUCUGGGUCUAGGUGACCUCUGGCUCCGUGUGGACUCCCUGCUCGGCCUGGUGCUCUACCUCUACCUCAGGGUCGCUCUCUUCAGCUGGUGAGGCCUCACCCAACCUCCAUCCGGGUGUGAAACUUCACACCGCCGAGGGCCAGCGGCCAACUGCGCUUGCGCGCUGCGCCAACACUCCAGGUCGCUUUUUGGCGCCGCUGGAAAAUCUAGGGGUGAGGCUACGUGAGCCCUGGGACUUAUUUCGCUCCUGAGCACAGGGAUUAGCCCUGUGCCAGCGGCCUCACGACAUUUCCAGCGCUUCCGGUGGGCGUGGCCGCGGGCCAACCUUUCCGCCUUGGGAGAGGUUCACCAGUCACCUGCAGGGCUGGGCUCCUGCACUCACUUGACGAAACAUUAUCGGUUUGCACGCCGGGGUUGUAUGAAAGGUUUUAUUUAUUUAUGAGAGACAGAGAGAGGUGCAGAGACACAAGCAGAGGGAGAAGCAGGC
Molecule: long non-coding RNA, 668 nt
Organism: Canis lupus familiaris (dog)
Lineage: Eukaryota; Metazoa; Chordata; Mammalia; Carnivora; Canidae
Exons: 3
Source: RefSeq, a predicted model, not a curated record